GCAAGUCGAGGGGCAGCGGGAUUGAAGCUUGCUUCAAUUGCCGGCGACCGGNGCACGGGUGAGUAACGCGUAUCCAACCUUCCGUACACUCAGGGAUAGCCUUUCGAAAGAAAGAUUAAUACCUGAUGGUAUGAUGAGAUUGCAUGAUAGCAUCAUUAAAGAUUUAUCGGUGUACGAUGGGGAUGCGUUCCAUUAGGUAGUAGGCGGGGUAACGGCCCACCUAGCCAACGAUGGAUAGGGGUUCUGAGAGGAAGGUCCCCCACAUUGGAACUGAGACACGGUCCAAACUCCUACGGGAGGCAGCAGUGAGGAAUAUUGGUCAAUGGACGAGAGUCUGAACCAGCCAAGUAGCGUGAAGGAUGAAGGUCUUACGGAUUGUAAACUUCUUUUAUAAGGGAAUAAAACCUCCCACGUGUGGGAGCUUGUAUGUACCUUAUGAAUAAGCAUCGGCUAACUCCGUGCCAGCAGCCGCGGUAAUACGGAGGAUGCGAGCGUUAUCCGGAUUUAUUGGGUUUAAAGGGAGCGCAGACGGGUCGUUAAGUCAGCUGUGAAAGUUUGGGGCUCAACCUUAAAAUUGCAGUUGAUACUGGCGUCCUUGAGUGCGGUUGAGGUGUGCGGAAUUCGUGGUGUAGCGGUGAAAUGCUUAGAUAUCACGAAGAACUCCGAUUGCGAAGGCAGCACACUAAGCCGUAACUGACGUUCAUGCUCGAAAGUGUGGGUAUCAAACAGGAUUAGAUACCCUGGUAGUCCACAC
This 754-nucleotide ribosomal RNA is filed under the name uncultured bacterium. RNAcentral's name for it is "bacterial SSU rRNA". It matches the Rfam family "Bacterial small subunit ribosomal RNA", at positions 57 to 800 of the family's 1533-position model. The record is from RNAcentral.